UCCAACGUAAACGGGCCGGCAGAACCUUGGAUAAGCGAAUAUCUUGGAUAAUAAGGAGAGAUUAAGGAAAAGACUAUUAUUAAACAUUAAAUUAGGUUAUGAUUUUACAAAUUAAGCACCAAAACAUCAUGUUCUACAACAAGUUUGACAGAAAAAGUAGUUCAACGCACAGUAAUAAUAUGUAGUAACUAGCUGUGCCCGGCCACGCGUUGCUGUGGCAAAGUGGUGGUGGUAUUGGUUAAAAGUUGUUGUGGAAUUUUUAUUUGACGUCAUUUGUAUUUUUUUAAUUAAUUUUAUUGUAACUUAUCUUUUUUAUUUAUUAUAUUUUAUUAUUUUGUUGUAUUAUUUUUAGUUUUAUUAUUAUAGUAUUUUAUUGUAUUAAUUUUUAGUGUUUUUAAUUAUUUUAGUGUUUUUUAUUUUUUUAUUGUAUUAUUUGUAUUUAUUUUAUUUUAUAUUCUUUUAUUAACACUGGGCUCAGUGGGUUGCUAGGAGACCAAAUGGGCAGAGCUUAGCCUUCUAAGUGGCAGCAAUUGGAUAAAAACAAUUAUUUCUCUCCCUCUAAUUAGGACUUUAUUUUUCUUUGCUUUUUGUUGUAUCAACCUAGAGGCGUGGAUGAUGGGUUGUGUUGUCAAAUUUCGAGGUUGGGGGGCUUGUAGUUUUGUUGUUUUGUGGGUCGCCGUGAUGCCAUCACUCUUUUAUAUAUAUAGAUUACUGUAAUAAUGCUACCGUAUGUAGUAAUUACUGUAUUUACGAAUUUAGCACCAAAAUAUCAUGAUGUAUGGAAAACAUUGACUACAAAAAUGUUUUUGUUUAAUCGUGCAGUCAUUAUUUGAAAGUACAGUAGAGUCUCGCUUAUCCAACGGUCUGGAUUAUCCAACACAUUUUUGUAGUCAAUGUUUUCAAUACAUCAUGAUAUUUUGGUGCUAAAUUCAUAAAUACAGUAGUUACAGUAGAGUCUCACUUAUCCAACGUAAAUGGGCCAGCAGAACGUUGGAUAAGCGAAUAUGUUGGAUAAUAAGGAGAGAUUAAGGAAAAGCCUAUUAAACAUUAAAUUAGAUUGUGAUUUUACAAAUUAAGAACCAAAACAUUAUGUUAUACAACAAAUUUGACAGAAAAAGUAGCUCGAUACACAGUAAUGCUAUGUAGUAAUUACUGUAUUUAUGAAUUUAGCACCAAAAUAUCACAAUGUAUUGAAAACAUUGACUACAAAAAUGUGUUGGAUAAUCCAGAACGUUGGAUAAGUGAGACUCUACUGUACUUCCUACCCUCUUACAGCUGUCUUCUUCAUUUAAAAAAUCAAUCAUUUUAAUAUUUAUAUUUAUAGUAGAUUAUAUUUUCAGGAUCCUAUGAAUAUCAUUGGAAUUCCUGUCAUUCUUGUCACAAACUUCCAUUUUUUCUUGUUGUUCCUACAUCUCCUUAAUAGUGAAUUGCUCUUAUUAAUGUAAAAAACCCAAUGAUUCCUGUUUAAUCGUGCAGGCAUUUUUUGAAAGUACAGUAGAGUCUCACUUAUCCAACACCCGCUUAUCCAAUGUUCUGAAUUAUCCAACACAUUUUUGUAGUCAAUGUUUUCAAUACAUCGUGAUAUUUUGGUGCUAAAUUCAUAAAUACAGUAAUUACAGUAGAGUCUUACUUAUCCAGCAUUCACUUAUCCAACGUUCUGGAUUAUCCAACACAUUUUUGUAGUCAAUGUUUUCAAUAUAUCGUGAUAUUUUGGUGCUAAAUUCAUAAAUACAGUAAUUACUACGUAGCAUUACUGCAUAUUGAACUACUUUUUCUGUCAAAUUUGUUGUAUAACAUGAUGUUUUGCUGCUUAAUUUGUAAAAUCAUAACCUAAUUUGAUGUUUAAUAGGCUUUUCCGUAAUCCCUCCUUAUUAUCCAAGAUAUUUGCAUAUCCAAGCUUCUGCUGGCCCAUUUAGCUUGGAUAAGUGAGACUCCUGUUUCAAGAUUCUCAAGUAUUUUGUUCCUUGUGGAUUCAAACCUUAUUUAAUUGACUUUGGACUUUGAUUUGCUAUUGCUUGCAUAUAAUCUUCAAUAAACAGCUUGCUUUGCUUAUAUUCUGGGGCUCCAGUGUGGUUUUGAGGUGCCUGCGUAGCCUAGGGGUGCAGCAUAGAUACUCUUUAGAGAAGAUGCAUUGUGUGUUGUGCAGAUGUGCAUUUGUUUACUAUGGCACCUUUGCCAUGAGACAGUGCAACUUGUGAAAUAGUUGUGUUUAUAUAUAUAUAUAUAUAUAUAUAUAUAUAUAUAUAUAUAUAUACCCUGUUUCCCCGAAAAUAAGACAUCCCCAGAAAAUAAGACCUAGUAGAGAUUUUGCUGAAUUGCUAAAUAUAAGGCCUCCCCUGAAAGUAAGACCUAGCAAGUUUGUGUUUGGAAUUAUGCUCGCCAAACAGAACACCAGAGCAUGCAGAAUUGGUAAAUGUACAUACCAUAGAUUGCUGUACAUGACAAUAAUGGUAGUAACAAGAAAUUCUUGAUAGGAUUCACAGUUUGUCUGGUUAUGCUGGUUUGUGAUGAUAUCUACUGUACAGUAUAUAAUAAAUGUUCAUUUCUUUUGUUCAACAAUAAAAGUGAAUUAUUCUUCAUGGAAAAUUAAGAAAUCCUCUGAAAAUAAGACCUAGCAAAUCUUUGGGAGCAAAAAUUAAUAUAAGACACUAUCUUAUUUUCGGGGAAACACGUUAUAUAUAUACACACACACACACACACACACUAGCUGUGCCCGGCCACGUGUUACUGUGGCAUUGUCCUAAGUGAGUUUUUGUUUGUGGGGGCAAGUAUGAACGUUGUAAUUAGUCACCUUGAUUAGCACUGAAUGGCCUUGCAGCUUCAAAGCAUAGUUGUUUCUUCCCAGGGGAAUCCUUUGUUGGGAGGUGUUAGCUGGCUCUGGUUGUUUCCUAUCUGGUAUUCCGCUGUUUUCAGAGUGUUUUCAGAGUUAUUUAAUGUCCAGAUUGUAGAGUUUUUUUAAUGCUGAUUACCAGGUUCUGUCCAUUUUGAUGGUUCCCAGGAACCCAAUAAUAAUAAUAGUAAUAAUGACUCGCUGUCGGCGUGCGGUAGCAAUUCAGACCCGGCCCACCUAGCUAACAUCACCAAGUUUCCCAGGGGGCCUCUGCACAUGUGUGGUUAGUAAUUUUUGGAUUUGGGGAGUUUUCUGUAAUUUGGACCUAAUUUUAUAGGGUUUUUUGAUUGGAUGACUGUGUCCUUUGUGGCCAAAUUUGGUGUGAUUUGGUCCAGUGGUUUUGUUGUUUACUCCAUGGGAUUUAUACACAUUACGCUUUUAUAUAUAUAGAUAUAUAGCCAGCGAUGAUGCUCAUUGAUGAAUGAUUAACACACCUGGUUAUGGAAUUAAGCCAACUGUUCAUAAAAGUCCGAUGGUGCAAUCGGGAUCCGUUCUUGGGACAUUGCGUUUCUUUUGCUGACGUUCACCUCAGAGGACAUUAUUGUAUUGUCGCAUUUUACAGCCUUUUGUUACAGUCCUUUCCCUGCUUUUUAAUGAGUGAGAAAGUAAACAAAUAGUAGUCAGGGAACAGUUUCCCUUGCAUUCCUUUAUAUUUGUUGACACGGCUUGUUUCAGGACACUGCGGGACUCGUGGCAGCUUAGUUACAGUGUUUAUUCACACACACAUGUAUUCUGUAAAGGAAAGCUCUUGGUACAUACAGAUUGGCGCAUAAAAACAGUUGUGUACAUUGAAUCUGAAUGCUCUUCGCAUGUAUAGAGGCAUGGGCAAACUUUGGUCCUCCGGGCGUUUUGGACUCCACCUCCCACCAUUCCUAACAGCCUCAGGCCCUUUCCUUUUGUACUGAGCAUGUUCAGACGCAGGACUCCAUUUUUUUAGCAGUUUGCAUCAGACCUUGGUGGAGCGGCUGAGGGUGAAAAGGAAAGGGCCUGAAGCUGUUAGGAAUGGUGGGAGUUGGAGUCCAAAACACCCGGAGGGCCAAAGCUUGCCAAUGACUGAUAUAGAGGAUAAAGGGACAUUUCAUUGGAAGGAGCGAGGGUCUUAUUUGGGCCUUUGUUUUCUCCCUCCCUGCAUCGUUACAUCCAGUUUGACCCCCUUCAUUUCCUGCAAGGAUUUGCUGCCGUAGAUCCAAGCCAAAAAGGAAAAACGUCGGCCUUCUAACGCUCGCAAAUACAGGGGAAAGAAGGAAACAGCUGGACAGUAAAGACACAACAUUACAAGGAUUGAAUGAGGAAACGUGCUUUUUUCACCAAGUCUUUUCUGCGUUUGUGCAGCAAACUCAUUUGCAAAGCAUAAUUCCAUCCCUUUUUGUUUACUCUCAGAACUAGAAGAGUAAAAUCCUCAAGUUGGAAGGGACCCCAAAGGGCAUAUAGUCUGAAAAACUCACAGCAACACAGUGAUUCCAACCAUGAAAGCCUUCAGCAAUUUAGUAUAUUUAUUUAUUUAUUUAUUUACAGUAUUUAUAUUCCGCCCUUCUUUCUCAUCCCGAAGGGGACUCAGGGCGGAUUACAAUGAACACAUAUACGGCAAACAUUCAAUGCCAACAGACAAACAACAUAUAUAGACAGACACAGAGGCAUUUAACAUUUUUCCAGCUUCACGAUUCUGGCCACAGGGGGAGCUGUUGCUUCACCGUCCACUAGUGGCUGUACUUCCUCAUUCCUUUCCUCGUGUUUUGCUGGCAGUUUUAUGAUGUUGUAAAUGAGUUAAAUUAGCCUCCCGCAUAAAGCGUACCUAAAUUUCCCCUAAUUGACAGAUGCAACUGUCUUUCAGGGCUGCAUAGGUCAACAGCAAGCCGGGGUAUUUAAUGGUCGGGGGCUUAAACCGACCCGGGCUUCGAACUCAUGACCUCUCGGUCAGUAGUGAUUUAUUGCAGCUGGUUAUUAGCCAGCUGCGCCACAGCCCGGCCCCAUUUGUCUCUCCACAAAAUAAUGAUGGAUGAUACGAACCAGGCAUGUCUUCAUACAGGGCAGAGUUAAACUAUGGAACUCACUUCCACAGGAUUGUAGAAUCCUAGAGUCCAUCUCCACUGUAGAAUUAAUCGAACAGUUUGCCAUGGCUCCACACUAUAUAAUUAGGGGAGUUGUAGUUUUACAAGGUAUUUAGCCUUAUUUGCUAAAUAGAACACUAAAGGUUUGGCGGCUCACCCAAUUACACUUGCACCACCAGCCCUCUGGCUAAAAAACCCUUCUAUGACACCAUAACACUGAAUUAUGGUGGUUAGAGUGCUAUCAAACUGUAUCAAUUCUAUAGUAUAGAUGCACCCAAAGAUGCUCAAAAUAUAUGGCAAAAUUUCUUUUAGUGCUGCAGUGAGAACCCCCCCUCCAAAAUAGGCUUUGCGCUGACCACUGACCCACCACUCCUUCUUUGUAGUCUCUUGCCCCUAAAGGAAAUCCCAAGCUUCCUUCGUGGUCCUUGAAAUCCGAAAAACUCAGACGUAAAUGGGAACUGCCUUGUGUUUCCUUUCUUCCGAUCAGCGUCUGGGAAACGUAGUUUGGGGUCAGCUAAGACGCAACACUGGCCAAAGCUCAUCCUGGAUAGGAAGGGGAUUUUUUUUUUCAAAAAUAAAAGUUUCAACAAACUUUGUAAGGAAUCCAAAAGAUGCUCAGCCAGGUGAAUGUCCAUCACAUUUGAGAGAAUUGGACGAAAUGGAUGGUGAUCCCUAAUGGCUCAAGGCCAUGUGGAUGGUUAUUUUUCCUUCCGGUGCAAAGGAAAUGUCUGGUUUUUUCUUUUAAAUAAAAUACAGGUUGUUCCUGCUGACCUUUUAAAAUAAAAUUGUGCCAAAUAAGGACAUAUUAAUGCAUGGCACACGGAUGCAGCUUGAAAGAGUUCCAGUUCAGCCUAGGCGUUGGCCAAAGGUGCAUCUGCACUAUAAGCUUAAUGCAGUUUGACCAUGACUCAAGGCUAUGGGAUCCUGGAAUCUAGUUUGGUGAGGCACAAGCACUCUUUGGGAGAGAAAGCUAAAGAUCUUGUCAAUCUACAACUCCCAUGACUCUAUAGCUUUGACCCAUGGCAGGUAACGUGGUGCCUGCAUUCAUUCUACAGCAGUGGUUCUCAACCUGUGGGACCCCAGAUGUUUUGGCCUUCAACUCCCAGAAAUCUUAACAGCUGGUAAACUGGCUGGGAUUUCUGGGAGUUGUAGGACAAAACAUCUGGAGAUCCACAGGUUGAGAACCACUGUAGUGAAGGUGUCCUGUUUUGUCUUUCAAAAACAGCCUUCAAACAUUUUGGUAAGUAAAUUAAAACUGCUUUACUUCAACAAAACAUAAAGUACAGCACAUUCAGUGAAAUAAUGCAAAAGGAAGCAAGGAAGUCUUACGGCAAACACAGUUCUUACUCUCUGACAAAUUCCCAAAUCAAACAGUCUUACUUCAGACAAAAAAAAGCAAUAAAUUUUUAGGAGCAGUUUCCCAGAUGCAGACUUGAAGCAGGCACAAGGAGAGCGUAGGCAUUAGAGUCUAUUUGUUACCAGCAAGAGCUGGCUGCACCUACUUCUGCUUUAUAGCCCUGAGUCCCCUCACAGCUGCUAAGGCAGUUCCUAAUUACUCAGCUGCAUUUCUGGCAGCUAUUCUAACUGAACAACGUCUCUGCUCUGUUUCCUUUCGCCUCUCCUGAAAAGUGGGUACUUGCAAAAUCUCCUCCUCAGAUUCCAACUCACCCUCCGAUACAUGAACACAUUCCUGCUCCCCUUCCUCUUCUGAAGAAGAGGAAUCCCUAACGGAAGGUGCACCCAAAGUUGUUACCGAAAUCAAUUAUCUGCCACCAAGAGGCAGUGUAACAUGCCAUGCUUCUUUUAAAGCCAGGAAAAACAUGAGCUGGUUUGAAGGCAAUAGCAGAGGUUUAUUCAACCAUCCAGAUGGAUGACAGAACAGCGUAAUCAACAAAAGAGCUGACAAUUCAUACAGAAAAGUGCAGCAUAUUUUAUAAAGUUUGGCAUCUAUUAAAACCUCCCACUCCCUUCCCUGGUUGGUCAGGAGAAGCACUUCCCAGGAUCCGCCUUCUCAUUGGCUGAGACUUCCUCCUGAUAUCACAGACCAGGGCGGAGAGGAAGAGAGAACAGCUGGGAUUGGUGGGGUUCAGAAUUAAAGGUUUGUUGUGCCCAACUUGGGUGUGGGCCCCAUUGUCCAGACUGGAAAGAAUGGGUAUUUAGCACUAAUGUACUUUGGAAGCUUGGAAUAAUCUCUACACAAAGAAUGAGGCUUGAGAAACUGAAAAAGUCAAUCUAAAUCCUUGAGGAGUCAUGGGUCCUGGAAGUUAAUGGCAAUCAAUUUCUUAGCAGGGAACUAACUGGAAGAAUCUGUAUUGUUUCCCAAGAUGGUCACAUAGUCCAAAGUCAUAUAAGCACUACAUAAUAAAUUACAAUCUUGGGCUGUUCUGUUGUACAGCAGGGGCUCAGUUGUAGAAACAGAAUAUAUUUCAGAGCUGGCAAUUUGAUUACGCAAAGUUUUACAACAGUGAAGAAGUUAGGAAAAAAGAAAAGAGACACCCAGUGGACAGAGAGAAAGAGCCAAGUCUGUUUUGUUAACUAAAUAAAUGUAUGAUUGUGUGUGCAUAGGUGUGUGGAGGUGGAGAUGUUUCUUGUGGUGAUCAUUUCUUAGGCUUGGUAAAUGAUUAGAUUAAUCCUCCCAGGAAUGUUUGGGGCUGGGCUGGGGCUGAGUUUAGCUUAGACCUAGCCAAGGUGGUAUUAUUAUUAUUAUUAUUGACACAACGACGUUGUAUGACACAGCAAACAAGAUAGAUAUGCUGGAUUUCGUUUCACAAAAUCACAAGUCGAACACUUUAUUAUUAUUAUUAUUAUUAUUAUUAUUAUUAUUAUUAUUAUUAUUAUUAUUUACAUCCUGCUUUAUCUCUCCCGAAGGAGUCUCAAAGCAGUUUAACAUAAAAACAUUAACAUACAAAUUAUUAUUAUAUGUUGUUAUUAUUAGAGGAACGGGGUGGAUUUCUUGAUAAGAAAGUGACUCAAUCUGAGGCUCAGUUUCUUAUUUAUAAGACAGAUAAAUAAUAACAUCCCAUUGUGGGCUAUUGGGAGGAAGCUAAUUGAGGGGAAUAAAUAGUAGUUGUAGUUUUAUCAUAGAACCAGGUGAACUGAAGAUUUAAUAUUGUGCUUAGACCUGGUUCCCAUCUCCUGUAUAAGGACCUAUAUGCAAACACAGAUAUUUCAACAUCCAGACAAGUCCAAGACUUUAUGUAUUUUGAUUUUAAGGGUUAUGGAAUCCUGGGAGUUGUAGUUUGGUAAGGCACAAGGACUCUUUGGCAGAGAAUGCUACAGAUUUUACAAAAUUAUUAAUUAGUAAUAUUGAACUUUUUAGCCUAGAUUUUAAAUUUUGUCAAUGAUUUAGUUUUAUAGGAGUUUUAUUAAUUGUGAAGUAUAUAACCUCUCGGAUUUCAUAUGGAUGUACGGGACUGGGUGCCCUUGAUAUGAGCUGGUCAUUGACCAUAAUAAAAGUUUACAUUACAUUACAUUACAAAACUACAACUCAGAUAAUGAGAGUCAGAUGAAAUCAAUCUUUUCCUUCCUCUGAAAAUGUAGAUUUGUUCAUCCGCCUUUAAUGGACUUCUUGUGACCAAGAAAAUUGGAUGCCUCUUUGGGCCUAUUAAAGACCAAGUCAUGGGGGUCUUUCUCUGUCCAUCCCCUUCUAGUCCAAUAAUUAAAUAUAUUCUUUGAGUUCUCCAGCAUUUUUUUGUAGUUUCUGGAGGCCAAGUUUGAGGAACGUCUUGGAGAAAAUGGCAAACCUUGCGAACUUCAACUUCUUUUUCCUGGUGAUUAUACUCGCUCUAGCUGCCGCGAUCUGUAAGUAUUAUUAUUAUUAUUAUUAUUAUUAUUAUUAUUAUUAUUAUUAUUAUUAUCCUUUUUUCAUCUUGCAGUAUGAAUAAAUCUUCCUUGAAAUCACUGUUUUUUAAAAGAGCUUUGGAAAAGUUGCUUUUUUGAUUGCAACACCCAAAAUUCCCCAAAUAGCAACUGGAGGCUGUAGUACAAAAAUAUCUUGGUCAGGUUCUGCUUCUGUCAAUCUUCUGCAUGGCUUUUGAUUAAUUUAACCCUAUCUACACUGCCAUAUUAUUCAGUUUCUGAAUCUAGAUUAUCUGUUUUGAACUGUGUUGUAUGGCAUUGUAAUCUUUAUAUAUAAAAAUGUGUAUGUUUAUGCAACAGAACCCUAAAAGGAGUUGUCAAUUAACUUGUAAUUUUGACACAAACAUUGCAUUUCAAUAUGUGAUCUAACUUGUUGAUUUCAUCUCAGAUUAUGUAAGACAACUACCUUCAGGAAAAUUAGUUUAUAGCAACCCGACAACAGGAAAAAGAUAAUGUUUCAGUGGAAUUGAUGCUUUGUUUGUGUGUCCUAUGGCAGGCCUGGGCAUGUGCGAGGAACAGUGGGGUUGCGCCAACUUCCGAGGUUUCUGCCGCAAAGUGUGUUUCCCGCAGGAGAAGUCCCUGGGGCCUCAGGACUGCGGCGAAGACCUGGUCUGCUGCACAUCAGCUGCGAUGAAAUAAUGAUUUCGGAGACUGUAAUGGAGAGAAUGGAGAGAAUCUCUGGAUCCAGAGGAAUCUGUUUAAUCCGCCGAAAAACAAGGAGAACAAAUGAUGUUGGCAUUGUUGCAUCAGCCAAUAAAAUUAAAAGAUUUUU
Anolis carolinensis (green anole) is the source of this 9568-nucleotide long non-coding RNA. RefSeq lists it as uncharacterized. NCBI's taxonomy places the organism in Eukaryota, Metazoa, Chordata, Lepidosauria, Squamata, Anolidae. The record is from RefSeq and is a predicted model, not a curated record. The transcript has 2 exons.